Molecule: ribosomal RNA, 498 nt
Filed under: Triticum aestivum (bread wheat)
Lineage: Eukaryota; Viridiplantae; Streptophyta; Magnoliopsida; Poales; Poaceae
Description: partial small subunit ribosomal RNA
Source: RNAcentral
AUGCCGAUGUUAGCUUGCGACGGUUUUACACCGACGCCGGUCUCCAAAAUAACAUACUCCCGCGAGGCAUACCUCUUGCAUACCCCGACGAGUCCGCUAGGUCGUCUAGAAGUCCGAGCCGAGCAGGACCCAUGCAACUUCAACCCCAACUAUAGCAUCGCCGCCAAGACCGACGAGGCGUGGCGGCGAGGGCGGAGGUGGCUAGCAGAAAGCCAUGUUUUGAGCGGCACGUGUACCGACGAGGACACGGGCUCUGCUGCUGCCCACGCCAUACACACCAUCAUCAUCAUGCAUGGAGAUUGCGAAGCAAAGACAACGAAGACGACCACACGGCUUAAUCGGAGGUAUCUCGCAGAGCAACCCGUGGGAGUAAUUAAUCGAGAGCCUUCCGAGGCCCCGGGAACCAGGAGACCGCACAUCGCUAUAGUCAGGCAGGCCGCGCUAGUAGGCCACGAAGCGCAUAUGUAUGGGGAACUUGUAAUUUUGUUUCUCCGAUGA